AGGGACUUAGGAUAGCAUCUUAGACCAAGGACCUUCAAAGCCCUAAGCAGAAGUGAAAAUCUUCUUGUCCCUG
This 73-nucleotide transfer RNA is filed under the name Opsariichthys sp. YWL-2014b. RNAcentral's name for it is "tRNA-Trp". It matches the Rfam family "tRNA". From Rfam's summary of the family: Transfer RNA (tRNA) molecules are approximately 80 nucleotides in length. The record is from RNAcentral. Lineage: Eukaryota; Metazoa; Chordata; Actinopteri; Cypriniformes; Xenocyprididae.